This 2183-nucleotide long non-coding RNA is filed under the name Homo sapiens (human). Its description in RNAcentral is "non-protein coding lnc-ZDHHC8-1:2". The record is from RNAcentral. Lineage: Eukaryota; Metazoa; Chordata; Mammalia; Primates; Hominidae.
UGUAAUCCGAUGCUUCAAGUUCAAUAUAUAUAGCCAGCAGCAUCUAGAGCCAACCAUGGCCGUGGCUCCUACAGCUGGGCCAAGCUGCUGAGACAUCUAGGGGAUUUGGAGCCGAUUGGCAAUUGAUCUGCUGUAGGACAGGGGCAGGAUUUAUGGUGGCCUUGCAGGGCUGGUCCUUCUGCAUACUAAACAGUCCAGAGGACAGCAAGGGGAGGGCAGCCGCCUGGAGCCCAGGGCAAGUGGCUGCUUGUGGGUUGCUGGGGCAGAGCCUUUAGCAAAGGGGUAUCCACCUUGAGGACCUGCCCCUGUAAAAACCCAGCUUCCUUGGAGACUCAGCUGCGGUGGGAGCCAUGCAGAAGGUGGCCCUGUGGCUGUGUGCCCUGCCCUUCAAGAGGCACCAUUGCCUCCUGAAGCCUGUUUCCUUGUCUGCAAGAUGUCCCAGGAUGGUUUGUUGCCCAAGAGGUGGCCCAGCAGAGCUCCUUGCAGAAGGUGCUGGCAUUAUUGCUUGCUCAGGACACCCGCAUCCUCUUGCCCUGGGCUUCACACUCCAGGAAUGCCUUUCUCAUGUCUGUGCUGCAUAUACUUAUUGUAAGUAAAGGAGAACCUCAUGGCCGAUGAUAGUUUGUUCAUUUCCUCCCAGUCUUAUUGUGUGCACCUAUUCUUUCUUCCAAGUUCACAGUCUCUCUGGGCUUGUAUGGCGUGCAUUUCACUCACCACAGAUGUCUCUUCGGGGCUGGUCCAUGGUGUUACUCUCCCAGCAUUGACUUAAACAUUUCCCCACUGUUGGAUAGUGUAGCUGUUUCCACCUCUUUGUGGUUAUAAAUAUGCUGUGGUCAUUAUCUGAGCUGGCAGAGUGAAGUCCGCCCCUCUACGUGUUUAAUUAGCAUAGACUCCAAGAGGGGGCAUUCAUGGGUUAAGCAUCUCAUGACUUGGGACACCCCUUGUCCGAUGACAAAAACCUGGCCCUGUGAUCCCUGCCCUCAGUGGAGGAGGGAGGGCCUUCCGUGGUGCCCGGCCGGAGGGGCUGGGAUGUGUUCACUGUGAGUCUGGUGGGUCUCACAUGUAGGCAGAGUGGGGACAAGGCAGCCUGCUCUGUGGCGUGUCCCAUGGCGUCCGGGUUGCCUUGUCUGCAGUUCACUCACAUUGCCCUUGGUGUUGCUGCUUCAGAUAAGUUCCUGCCGUGUUAAUGCUAUUAAUUUUUUGUCAUGUUAGUGUCAAAAAUUUACCCGCCUCAUUUCUUGUCUUUUAGCUUGAUGUUUUCCUUUGAGCCACCUGAGAAUUUAGCUUCCACACAGUCAAAGUGAACUCAUCCUUCCCUUUAUUCUUGGAAAGUUCCUUCUCACCAGGGAUUCGGUAAAUAUUUGCUUCUGUUUACUUCCUGUUCCUUUCAAUGGUUUAAGUUAUUUUCUGUCAGCAUCAACUUAUUCCCCAGCCCAUAUCCGCAGGCCUCACACUCUAAUUAAGAGGAUGCCCUAUGGCCGGGCGCGGUGGCUCACGCCUGUAAUCCCAGCACUUUAGGAGCCCGAGGCAGGCUGAUCACUUGAGGUCAGGAGUUGGAGACCAGCCUGGCCAACAUGGUGAAACCCCGUCUCUACUAAAAAUACAAAAAUUAGCCGGGCAUGGUGGUGUGUGCCUGUGAUCCCAGCUACUCAGGAGGCUGAGGUAGGAGAAUUGCUUGAACCUGGGAGGUGGAGAUUGCAGGGAGCCGAGAUCAUGCCAUCGCACUCCAGCCUGGGCAACAGAGUGAGACCCUGGACCCUCCAAGACAUCAGAUUGUCCAACUGCUCAGUUUUCAUUGGGGCAAGUGCCUCGCUGAGGGUGAAGGGGGCUGUGAGUGCCCAUCAGGGAGCCUGGACAGGUCCCGCCUCUCACAGCUGUCCCACUCUCUGGAGCUGCCUUGGUGGCAGAUGGCACUGUCCUGACAUGCUCCUCAGCUGUCUUGCCCCGCAGAAGCUGUGUGGUCUCCCCUGUGAGUAGAGUCGGGCUCCAUGAUCCUCCGGAGCAGCGCCAGGGACUCUCCCCAGGCACAAUUUUAAAGGGGGCCCUAGGACCUGCCAGGUCCACGGAAGUGGUCCUUGUAACUCUCUCCCUGGUGGCAGCCUCUGGUGCAUUCCGGCAGGGGCAGCCCCUCCUCAUCACAGGGACCCUGUGUGCCAGGCCCCAGCUGCGUUGCCGCUGAAUUA